UACAGAGGUCUCAAGCGUUGUUCGGAAUUACUGGGCGUAAAGCGUGCGCAGGCGGUUUCGUAAGACAGACGUGAAAUCCCCGGGCUCAACCUGGGAAUUGCAUUUAAAACUGUCCAGCUAGAGUCUUGUAGAGGGGGGUAGAAUUCCAGGUGUAGCGGUGAAAUGCGUAGAGAUCUGGAGGAAUACCGGUGGCGAAGGCGGCCCCCUGGACAAAGACUGACGCUCAGGUGCGAAAGCGUGGGGAGCAAACAGG
RNAcentral lists this ribosomal RNA (253 nucleotides) under uncultured prokaryote. RNAcentral describes it as "partial 16S ribosomal RNA". It matches the Rfam family "Bacterial small subunit ribosomal RNA", at positions 524 to 776 of the family's 1533-position model. The record is from RNAcentral.